AUUGAACGCUGGCGGCAUGCCUUACACAUGCAAGUCGAACGGCAGCACGGGUGCUUGCACCUGGUGGCGAGUGGCGCACGGGUGAGUAAUACAUCGGAACAUGUCCUGUAGUGGGGGAUAGCCCGGCGAAAGCCGGAGUAAUACCGCAUACGAUCUACGGAUGAAAGCGGGGGACCUUCGGGCCGCGCGCUUUAGGGUUGGCCGAUGGCUGAUUAGCUAGUUGGUGGGGUAAAGGCCUACCAAGGCGACGAUCAGUAGCUGGUCUGAGAGGACGACCAGCCACACUGGGACUGAGACACGGCCCAGACUCCUACGGGAGGCAGCAGUGGGGAAUUUUGGACAAUGGGCGAAAGCCUGAUCCAGCAAUGCCGCGUGUGUGAAGAAGGCCUUCGGGUUGUAAAGCACUUUUGUCCGGAAAGAAAUCCUUGGCCCUAAUACGGUCGGGGGAUGACGGUACCGGAAGAAUAAGCACCGGCUAACUACGUG
RNAcentral lists this ribosomal RNA (486 nucleotides) under uncultured bacterium. Its description in RNAcentral is "partial 16S ribosomal RNA". It matches the Rfam family "Bacterial small subunit ribosomal RNA", at positions 30 to 507 of the family's 1533-position model. The record is from RNAcentral.